This 2626-nucleotide long non-coding RNA is filed under the name Nicotiana tabacum (common tobacco). RNAcentral's name for it is "long non-coding RNA (NTAB_LNC007978)". Lineage: Eukaryota; Viridiplantae; Streptophyta; Magnoliopsida; Solanales; Solanaceae. The record is from RNAcentral.
UGAAUGUUGUGGUAUUGGGUGCAAUUUAUUUUGAAAAAGACGUCAAUCUUCAGAGACCAAUCGAAUCUUUUCUUACAAAAUUUAUGAACAAGUAUAGUUAAUUCUCUAUAAGGCAACCUUAUGAUGCAAACUAUGAAAAGAAUAGAGAGAAAAGACAAAAAGAAAUGUGCAAUUUAACUACAUUCAGUAUGAUAUUCCCCUUAUUAAUAAGCGACAGUUUGAGGAGCUUGGGUCGUCCGGGGGUAUUUUGGAAAAACAAAUAAGCGACAGUUUGAGGAGCUUGGGGUCGUCCGGGGAUAUUUUGGAAAAACUGCGAAUACUUUGGUAAAAUUCAGGUGUUAAUCCUACUUUAGUUUUGACACGUUACUUUACACCGCCCAAACAAUCAUAUCUACACUCUGUUUCCUCCCAAUUUCUCUACACUUUAUUUCUUCUUCAAAAUUUCCAUCACUGCUUAUCUGCUCUUCCAAUUUUCCUUGUUUCUUUUAGUCUUCUCUCUUCUUGGACAGUUAAUUCGCCUUGAUUGUACAGUUAUAAGGUGAGUUUUAGUUUCUUGUUUUCUUGAUUUUUGAAAUAGCUGUUGCAUAUAAAUUGUUUAAGCUGAUUAAAUUAUUCGUCCAUCAUUCUUUGUCAUUCGUCCAGAAAAAACUGGGAUAUUUGGAGUUGUUUCCCAUUUCAGUUGGGUCGAAUUCAAUUCCCACAAUUACUCACUUAACCCCUUUGAGUAUAUUUGCUGAUGUUGUUCUUGAAGCGUUUGGCGGGUUCAGUGAUCUUGAUGUAUCUGUUUAUGCUUUUAAAGAUGUUGGAAUGAUUUUACCUUUUGGAACCAGAGAUGAAAGACAAGGACAAAUUUGAGAAAAUUUUGGGUUUGUCCAUGGCUUUCAUUUCUUCGAUGUAUGGUAAAGAGCACAUAUCUGUAUUUAGUAUAUGGUUCAUAAAAUAGUAUUACUGUAUUAGAGGUAAAUAAGUUUAGUUGAUUGUCACUAUUUAUGCAUUCCUUGUUCUUUAUUUGCAUUUUUAUUGUAAAAAUAAACUAUUAACCACUAAUCGAUCUUGCAUAUUAUGUUACUGUGUUUGAUGUAGCCAAUCCUAAAAUCUGUGUAUUUACCGUUAUUGUAUGAGCUCUCUGAUGCAUUGUGGUGGCUAUAAAGAAUAGAGUACCUAAUGAUAUUUUAUUUAAACAAAGGAGAACUUUGAUGUAGCGAAAGCGCUUGACAAUAUGCUUAACUGGUGACAAUAUAUUUUAUGUAUUAUAUAUCUUUAUAAAGGAUGUGUCAUGUCUUCAACUGUUAUAUGCAUAGUUCUUAUAGUUGUCUGUAGAAGUAUUCUGGGGUUUUGUGGAAAAUGGAUUUGUCCCAUUUCUGAUGUGAUUUUGUGGAUAUAUAUAAAAUUUUGUUGUCACUGAUCAAUAGAUCAUGCUUCUUAUUAUUAAAAAUAAAUAAAAGUAGAUUGAGGUGAAACAUUAAAAAGUAGUGGAAAAACAAAGUGAAGAAUCAGUUCUUGAAUUUGGCUCAGUAGUAAUGGGGGUCUCUAUUCCUAUAUUUGUAAUAGUGAUUGCCUUUCAUCUCAUCGCCUUUGUUCUUGCCGUCGGUGCUGAACAACGUCGUAGCACGAUACCCUCUAUAGCUUAUAUUCUGUUUUCAUUGAUCUUUCUUUUUUCGCUUUUGUUUCUGAACAUAGGUAAAGAUGGAACUUUGUGCUUGUGUGUGUGUUUUUCUGGGUAGAGUUAAAACCUUAAAGUCUGAACUUUUUUGUUUUAUUUGCUUCAUAGUCUAGCUAUUGAUUAAUUUUUUGGUGUUUUUUCCCUGGGUGUAGUUAAAUAUUUAAUUUAUUUUUUCAGUUCUGGUUGUACUUAGAUUGAACUUUUUGGUAUUAUUUGCUUUAUAGUCUAGUUAUUGAUUAAUUUUUUGGUAUUUUUCCCUGGGUAUAGUUAAAGAUUUGAUUUAUUUUUUCAUUUCUGAUUGUAGUUAAAGAUUGAACUUGUUAGUUUUAUUUGCUUCAUAGUCUACUGCUUUGUUGCACCAAAGGCAAAGCUGGUUGUUAUGCUUUCGCCUUAUUUGACUCUUAUUUACAUUUCUCUUCAUCGUUUUGGAAAUUAUGCAGGGUACAAUAUGUAUGAAGCUUAUUGUUCGUAUUAAGUAUAUCUAAAUAGCGGAUGAUCAAUUGAUGACAAGCUGAGUUAGGUUUUUUGGUCAACCGUCAACAAUCUUUGGCUUAUGUUGUGCCAAUAGAAUGGCUGACUCUUAUGGUUUUGCCUUAUUUGGGCUCUUACUUAGAUUUUUUUUUUACCGUUAUGAAAAAUCUGUGGAUGCUUUAUUUCUCUCCAUUUUCUUUUGUAUAAUAUUUUUAUAAAAUUCUUAUUGAAAAAAGGUGCAGCCUUGAAAUUACAUGACUUUACUCUUUAUGUUUUGCUUUCAUGUAUUUAUAGUAUACUAAGUGUUAUCUGUUGUUCCUUUUUAAAUAUUUGAAGAAAAUAAUGUACGCCAAUGUUCAUGUAUGGUCUUUUAUCUUUGUUUCAAACUAAUAAAAAGUUGCAAAAGUGAUUGGCUGACACUUAUAAAACUUAAAUUUCUUCGUGAAUGGAUCGUCAACAAAAAAGAAAACAACCUUGCAUAACAACAGAAAA